UUUUUUUUUUUUUUUGUUAUUUUGACUUAAAAACAAGUGCUUAUAAGUAUUUUUUUUUUAUUCAAAUGCUUCAAAGUUGAUUUAAAGCAAUUUUGGUUUUAAAAUCUCUAAAAUAAGUCAAUUUAAAUAGGGUUUUAGUGUCGAGUUAAAAUUAGACAAAUAAAUUGAGACGGAGGGAUUAUAUAUUUUUUUUCUCCUUAAUUGCCACUCUCUCAUCUAUCAUACAAUUACAAACACCCUCCUCUUCUCCUCUUCUCUACCUUCCCUUCUUCAUCCUCCCUCUUCUCAUUUUGGUUAUGAAAGUUUUAAGCUUUUUUGGAGAAGAGGGGGUGGGUGGUUCAAGAUUUGUGAAUGUCACUAUGUCAGAGAAGAACACAAUCAUGAAGAGGCUAGUAAGUACGUUGGUUUAUUUAUUUUUUUUCAUUUUUGUGUUCUUGUUUUUUUAAACUGAGGGUGUCUUGUUUUUUGACUAAAUCUUGAUUUUCAUGUCUUGAAUCUGAUAUUUUCACUUGAAAAAUUAGUGGGUAUUUGCUAGAUUGUGAUAUUUGUGGUUAAAAAAUGAUUCUUGGCUCAAUUGGUUUCACUUCUUUUCCUUGCUAGGGGUUGGGGGUGGGGUUGGGGGGGUUUAGAACUUAGUAUUUGUGCUCUGAAUUGGAUUUACUAACAGGGUUUUGUAGAGAUUUGCUUGAUCUCUUGUAUUAUCUAACUGGGAUGCCUAAUGUUUUUGUCUACAUUGUAUUUUCAAGAUAAGGAUUUGGUGGAUUCAAGAUUUGUUUGGAUGGUCUUUGCAAUCAUAAAGUUUUGAUUUUUAUAGUGAAAUUUUGUUUUGUCUUCUAGCACAUCAAUCCUGGUAGAAGGGAUCUGAUUGGGAAACUACUAAUGGUUUACAAUGACUUGAUGAAGUGUGAUAUAAAUUAUGAAAGCUGACUAAGUUAUAAAUACACUUUUUCUCUUUUCAUUCUCAUUUGAAUUAACACUUAUCAGGUACUGUAAUUUCUCAGUGUUUUGUGCUCCAAAUGAAGUCUCUAUCUAUAGGUUACUAAUCAAGUUGAGAGCUUUUUCUAUAAAAGGAAAAGAAUAUCUACUUGUGUUCUUUCUACUGGUGUUUCCUGUUCCUUUGUCACAUCAGCUUUUAUGUAGGUGGUUCUUCCCAGCAUUUUUCUGUUUCUCUGUGAGAUCUGCAAACAGUGAAAAUAUGCCAAAAUAUGUUAAGGUAGAACCGAGACAAUGUAUCUCAGUGAUGCUGAUUAGGGAACUUGCAAAUAUAUUAGGCCGCGGCAUAGAUUUUAUUAGCUUACAUGAUAGUGAAAGUUUAGAAAUUCAGUAAAAUGCUGGAUGAUUUACCUUUUCUCUUUGAUUUUGUUUCCAGGCAGUGCUACUUUUGCUGUUGGUGUUCAGUCACUGUAUAGUACAGAGUGAAGCUCAAUUUGAAGGAGAAUGCAAGUUCAAUAAGCAUUUGAAACCCAGACCUCACAGUGUGUCAGUAUUGGACUUUGGGGCUGUGGGUGAUGGAAAAACUAUUAAUACCGUCGCGUUUCAGAAUGCUAUUUUCUAUCUCAAGUCCUUUGCUGACAAGGGUGGAGCGCAGCUCUAUGUUCCUGCUGGAAAGUGGCUGACUAGAAGCAUCAAUCUUACUAGCCACCUUACACUGUUCCUGGAAAAGGAUGCUGUUAUUCUAGCAUCUGAGGUUAGCUUCUGAACUUUGUCUUAGUGUCCAUGUUGCAUUUCUUAUCUCUUUUUAUUUUUUUUGUGUUUUUAAACAAAAGACUAGCCUAGUUACAAUGCUAAAACAAUUUCAGCAUCGUGUAAUGGGGUUGUCAACCAUUGGUUUCAAGGAUGAGAUACAUUGGCACUUUGGGAUUAGGAUCUAUGGAUUACUAUUUCACAAAUAAAAUGAAAUUCUUGACAUAUACAUGGUAACUCCAAUAUAGAGGUUAACUACAUUAUAUGUUGUCACGACUGCAAUAACUUAAAUUUUGUUGAUGAUGGUUUUGAUAAGUGCUUCAGUUUUUAUCCAUAAACUUAGAUCUCUAAGCAUUUUAAUGCAUGUCGCGGUUAAUAUUUUGUGCAUUCACUAUUCAGGAUUUCGAUCAUUGGGAUGUAGUUGAAGCUUUACCAUCUUAUGGCCGAGGUAUUGAGGCACAAUAUGGAAGAUACCGCAGCUUGAUCUCUGGAAAUAAUUUAACUGAUGUUGUAAUAACAGGCAAGGAAUCCUUCAUCAAGUGGUUUAUAGUUUUACAUUCCUCUUUAUUUUACCUUUAUGCAACCUGCUUAUUUCUUAACAAUUCUGCAGGUAACAAUGGAACUAUCGAUGGCCAGGGCUCUAUUUGGUGGGAGAAGUUCAAUUCCCAUUCCUUAAAUUAUACUCGACCUCACCUAGUAGAGUUUGUUAGCUCCAGAAAUGUUGUUAUUUCAAACUUGACCUUAUUGAAUGCUCCUGGUUGGAACAUCCGUCCAGCAUAUUGCAGGUAACUCGAUUUAUCUGUAUAAGGAGUUUAAUGUUUCAUCUACUUUUGCUUGUUGUAAAAUCCGAGUUUAUCUAAUCCUUGAGAAAAUUUUAUGUCUUGCAGUAAUGUGGUCAUUCAGAACUUAACGGUUUAUACUCCACAAGACUCCCCGUUCACCAAUGGGAUUGUCCCAGGUUGGUUAAAAGAAAUCAUUAAUCUUAUUUGUUUUAAAAUGUCCAAGCUAAUUAAAAGCUGUAACCUUAGACCUUCACCAGUUAAAUGUUCAUAGGUCUUCAAAUAUAUAGCUUUGAUUUAUCUGACAUGCUUCCUCAAGCAAAGGAAAACAACAUUUUUAGGAUUAAAAAUUUAGCUGUUGAUAAAGAUUAAAUGCUAGCUCUCCAAAUACUGCUAAAAACUGAGUUCUGAUCACACGAGUUUUCUUUAGUAUCAUAGACACAUUUCUCUGGAUUUUAGUUGGGCAAAGAUGAAGUACUAGCUGUUUUUCCUCCCCUGAGUAAAUAUUCUUAUGAUUGGCACAUGAGCCCAGAAUAGAUUUGUCGUUGAGACGAUGUGAAAUAGUUAGGCCUGAUGUUUUGUGAAAACAUGUAUAUUGGUUCCCCUUGUUUUUCUUUUUUUAUUCAACAAAAGAAGGAUUGGUAACUCUAGACUUGACAUGCAACCUUAUGUCCACUUUUCAGAUUCUUCUGAGCAUGUCUGCAUUGAAAACAGCAACAUUAGCAUGGGUUACGAUGCUAUCGUUCUUAAAAGUGGUUGGGAUGAGUAUGGGAUUUCCUACGGGAAACCUACCUCAAAUGUCCACAUUAGACGAGUGAGGUUACAGUCCGCUGCAGGUGCUGGCGUGGCUUUGGGUAGUGAGAUGUCUGGUGGUAUCUCCGAUGUGCUAGUAGAGCUUAGUUCCCUACAUGACUCCCUUUUCGGUAUUGAGCUGAAGACAGCAAGAGGAAGAGGUGGUUUCAUCAAAGAUAUUCUCAUUUCAAAUGUUGUUAUGGAUAACUUGCAAGUGGGAAUCAAGGCCACUGGUUACUCUGAUACGCAUCCAGAUGAGAAAUAUGAUCCUUCUUCGUUACCUACAGUUAGUGGAAUCACCUUUGAGGACAUUAUUGGUACAAAUAUCUCGAUAGCAGGCAAUUUCACCGGGCUAUCUGAAUCUCCCUUCACUUCUAUAUGUCUAUCAAAUAUCUCUAUCUCCAUUUCAUCUGACCCUUCUACACCAUGGUUAUGCUCUAAUAUAUCAGGCUCUUCUAAAAAUGUGUCUCCUGAACCAUGUCCCGAGCUUCAAGGAUCAUUUUCCAGUUGCUUUGCUCUUCCAAACCCAUACACUGAAGUUGCAGUUUUAUAAUCCUACCCUGAUUGGAACUACUAUUCAUUCAUUGAACCUGAACAACGAGGCACAUAUCGUGUUCUGGUUCUGGUGUACAAUCUUCCAAUAAGAUGCAAGUCAGAAUCUUCGGUCUCAUGGUUUACCAAGUCAACGUCAAAAAACUCUGGUGAGCAUUCUCUUCAACGCAGCAGCAUAUCGUUCCUGUGUACAGCAUCAGUUUCUUUUAUUCAUGUGUAAGAAAAGUUUUGGUAGUUCAGUAAAUUCAGAUACGUUGUUCCUUCUCGUGUCAUUCUUCAUUUGAUUUUUUCUUUUUACGAAAUUGUCUUACAUUUGUAAAUUGGGUUUAUGGAGACUGCAGUAAGAUUGGUUAAUGCUUAUAUGGUUGAAGGGGUGUUAUUGUUGAUUGUCAUUGUUGCAAUAAAAGUUCUAGCCAUUUCAUUUAAACAUACAAAGCCUAUUCUUCCUUCUUUGGUUAGAGAAACAUUUGAAGAUCAUGAGGAAACAGUUUGUAAUGCAGAACAAUUUAAGUUUAUUUCAUUCAUUCCUUUGAUUUAAGUUAAGGUCCUGUUUGUAUCCAGUAAGCUUGUAGGCUUGUAGCCAUUGCUGAUUGUUGCUCCAAAGGUAAUCCAGAAGAAUGUUGAAAUACUGCAGCUAACUUGAGAGGAAACAUGAUUUGAGCACUAUUCUCAAACUAUACAAUGAAUUAUUGGCAACAGUAAUUGUCUCUAUAUGACCUAUAGGUCACAGGUUUGAGAGGCCGUGGAAACAAUCAUUAAUGUUUGCAUUAGGUUAGACUAUCUACAUCAUACUCCUACAAGUGUGGCCUUUCCUUGAACCCUGCUAAUGUGAAAUGCUCUAUGCAACGAGCUGCUCUAUGCAAUGCCCUUUCCUUGAGAACGAUUCUCUAACUAUACAAUGAAUUAUUGACAACACUAAAUUGUCUCUAUAUGACCUAUUGGUCACAUGCUCGAACCGUGGAAACAGUCACUAAUGCUUGCAUUAAGUUAGUUAAACUGUCUACAUCAUACUCCUUCAGGUGUGACCUUUCCUUGAACCUUGCUAAUGUGAAAUGCUCUGUGCAAUGGCCUUUCCUUGAGCACUAUUCUCAAACUAUACAAUGCAUUAUUGGCAACAAUAAAUUGUCUCUAUAUGACCAAAGGUCACAUGUUCGUGUUGUGGAAACAAUCACUAAUGCUUGUAUUAGGUUAGACUGUCUACAUCAUAUUCCUUUAGGUGUGGUCUUUCCUUGAACCCUGCUAAUGUGAAAUGCUCUAUGCAAUGGCCUUUCCUUGAGCACUAUUCUCAAACUAUACAAUGAAUUAUUGGCAACACUAAUUUGUCUCUGUAUGACCUAUUGGUCACAUGUUCGAGCCGUGGAAACAGUCACUAAUGCUUGCAUUAGGUUAGAUUGUCUACAUCAUACUCCUUCAGGUAUGAGCUUUCCUUGAACCCUGCUAAUGUGAAAUGCUCUGUGCAACGGCCUUUCCUUGAGCACUAUUCUCAAACUAUACAAUGCAUUAUUGGCAACAAUAAAUUGUUUCUAUAUGACCAAUAGGUCACAUGUUCGAGUUGUGGAAUCAAUCACUAAUGCUUGCAUUAGGUUAGACUGUCUACAUCAUGCCUAUUCCUUUAGGUGUGGCCUUUCCUUGAACCCUGCUAAUGUGAGAUGCUAUGUGCAACGAGCUACUCUUAACAUCAACAAAAUAUCAUAACUUCAUACGAUACGGGAAUUUUAGCAACUUUAGAAUCAAUAAGAAAAUAAAUGUACAUAAUCAAGGUUGAUAUACACGUCUUUUUUUGGGCAUGUUGCCAUUAAGGGAUUCAUCAAAGCAGAAACUAAAAUCUGAAAAUUUAUCAAAUUCACUUGUCAUGUCUGAAAACAGCUUUUGAAGCUCCUCCAAUGUGUUUUCUCCCUGUUACAAUUUACAAAUUUCAAUCACCAACUUAUUACAAAUACUAAAAAAUACAUGAAACCAAAAAAAAAAAUGAAAAAGGUACUGAAGGCAAAUUACCUUAGAUUUCUCAGCUUCCAUCAUUGUUUUCAUUUCUUGCAUAAACUCACAGAAUUCCUGUUAUGUUAAAAGUGAGCAAGUAGAAAUGAAUACUUUUUUUUAUAAAUAUAACUGACAAGUAAAAAUGAACGGAGAAAUUAUGAUGAAGUCAGAAGAAGAUAGAAACUGACUUUAUCAUCAUCAGAAUCAUCUCCCAUGAGGUGAAGCAACCUAGUGUCAUAUAGUGAUCUUUUCCUCUGGUCUGAGAGAACUGCAAAUUGAUAGAUAUAUAUGGUCAAUGAAAACAUAUAUGGUUAUAUAAAAUUGAAGCGGAAUUAGAAUUUUAAUUUGAUAGAUUCAAUCGGUAGGUAAUUCAUUAAACCCCUUGCUUAUUAAUAUGCUUUUAAGCUUAUGUGUCCAAAAAAUAGAUACGUAAGGUCUGUUAGGUCAAAACGAACAAUAAGCACAUGCUAUGUGACAUGUGACAUGUGACAUGUAAAGUGCAUUAAUUUGGUGGGGAGGAGGUUAAGAAGGUAAAUUCACAUACCAGAAUAAGCUUCUUGAACUUGUUGAAAUCUAUGUUUAGCUUCUCCCCUAAUGCAAGGAUCCUUCUUCAUCCAUCUAUCUGGGUGCCAUUUCUUCAAUCAACACAUAAAAUAAAUCAUAAAUCAAAAGAUAUAAGUAAAAUAGAGCACAACACAAAAAAUGAAACAAAAUCUCGUGAUCGUAAACAAGUCAGGUAAAAUAUUAAAGAGUUAUCAAAUGUAGAAAGAAACAUGGUCAAAUCUAGACGUUCUUAUAUCAGCUCAUGAAAACUCAAUAGUUUUUACCCUGAACCCUUUAUAUAUAAUAAGUUUGUGUUUGAUCAUAAAUUUGUUGAAAUUUGAAAAAGAAAGGAGUUUUAAAAUUGUGUUAAAAAAUAAUUCUUCAAGUACAUUUUGGAUUAUUUUUUUUUUAAAAAAAUUUUAUGAGUGAAAGUAAAAUUUACUCGAAAAUUGGCUCAGGCCAGUUUCUGGAACUUGAAUAUCUGAUUUAAUUUCAUGAACAAACAAUAUUUACAAUUAUUAUUUUUAAAUCUACUCUAAAAAUCUAUGGCCAAAGGGAGCUAUAUAUAUAUAUAUAUAAAACUUAUAUCGUUGUAGAAAAUUGUACACUUUAAAUAUAAAAAAAUAUAUUUUAAAAUAGACUAAAAAAAAACAACAAUUAAAUGGAAGAGUUAAAAACUACCAGGGCAAGCUUUUUGUAAGCACAACGAAUUUCAGAAUGUGAGGCUUGUUUACAGAUUCCAAGAACAUCAUAGUAGCAGGAUCCUCCAUUAUUGUUGGACACAAAUUCCAUUUUCUUGAACAAACAAAUUAAAGGGAGAGAUUUUAUUUUAUUUGGUGAAUAUAAUACUAAUAUAUUGCUCACUUGGUUUUAGCGUACAAGGAAAAAGGUUGUUAAUUUGUUAAGGUUUUCGUAGGUCCAAGAAAUGAAUUUAAUAAUAAUCACAGAUAUCACAUGAUUCUAGAAGGGAGAUUUAUUCAUAAGAAGUUUCUAGAUCUUUAUUACUCCAUCCGUUUCAAAAAUAAUGGUCUAGUUUGACUUGACACAGAGUUUAAGAAAAUAAAGAAGACUUUUGAAUCUUGUGGUCCUAAAUUUAAGUUAUGUCAAAUGUACAAAAUUGUCCUUUCAUCUUGUGGCCUUAAACAUGCCACGUGAAAAGCUGAAAUUAAAAUGUUACCAAAAAAAGAAAGAGAUCAUUCUUUUUGAAAUUGACUAAAAAAGAAAGGAGAUCAUUCUUUUUGAAACGAAGGGAGUAUUACUUUUAGAAACUAUAUUGAUUUCUAGAAGUGUUGUUAUACCCACAAAUUGUGCAAGUUGAGUAAAAUGUGUAUGUGGUGUUCCUAUGAGGGAGGUACUAUGUGGUCACUGUCUUCCUUCUAGAAAUUUCUUGCAUCUCUAUAAUUUUACUUGUUGAUGGUUACGGGUGGUUUGAUAGCUAGUUAAAAUUAAGAAAAGGCUAGAAUUAUUUAUAAGAGAAUUUAUAUAUGAUUUUAUAUAAAUAUUAGAACAACGAUAUAGAAUUAGAAAAAAAAGCAAGUACUUUAGUGGAAAAUAGUGAUUAGUGAGAGAUUGACUAUAUAAGGAGAGGUAGAGGUAGACCGUAAAAGUCUUGAAAAAAAGAUGAAUAGACUUGACAUGAUUUACAUGUAAUUUAUCAAGGACAUGACCUUAGGUAGAAAAAUAUGGAGAUCGAGGAUUAUGAUAGAAGGUUAGUAGGUUGAGUGUUGUCUAGUACCAUUUUUUGUAAUGUUAUAUUACUUUCUUACUGUCUUAUUCUUUGAUUUUAGUAUUACCUUAUGUUUUAUUUGCUUUAGUUAUCGUUCUCUUUUCUAGCAUCUCAACUAUGUUCUCUUCUUUUCAUUGUUUUCAGCAUGGUUUUUUCGCUAUUGUAUUGGUUUGGCAUAUUGGAUUUUUAUAUGCUUUACUUGAUUCGAGGAUCUAUCGAAUACAACCUUAGUACCUUCACAAGGUAGGGGUUAAGGCUUCGUACACAACACCAUCACCGCACCUCACUUGUGAAAUUACACUUGUGUAUGUUGUUGUUGCUCUCUUUCACCAGCACAAAUAUUGAAUAACUUUGUCCAUAAAAAUUGCAUGAAUGGAAAAAAAAUCACCUAAUAUUUUUGUUUGACUCAUGAAAAAUCCACCUACACACUCCAACUGCUUACUUUUGAAUAAUUUUCAACCCACUUCAUCGACCCCUAUACCUUACCUUUGGGUUUUUCUUUCCAUUUAGAAAAUUGGGAUGAUUCCCUUACUUCCUUUUCUUGUCUAAGGACCUCAACUCUUAAUCAUCUAUAUUCAGAAUACCCUUUUGCCUUCAUUGUUUUCAUCAUUGAACAUACCUGGGACAACAUUGUUUCCCACUAUGUGAUCAUAAUCUGUAACAGCCAGGACAUCAAUAAAACUAAGAAACAGAGAAAAUUAAUAGUUUCAUAAUCAACUUCAGUUUUUUUACUAUAAAGCACAACCAAAAUAAAUUCAAUAUGUGCAAAAUGUACAUGUCGAAUCCUCAACUGUGACACAAAAUGUUAUAUGAAAGUACAACCUUUGAAGAUCUUCACACUGCUCUCUAUCAAAAGAACUUGAACUCUACAAAUCUAAUGAUGUAAAGAUUACACGCAACAGAAUUAUUGCCUUUUCAUAUAAAUCAAAAUACAAAUUUUGAAGGGAAUGAUCAAAUAGGCCAGAGAGAGCCUCUGUUGGUAAAGCAAAAAACAACUCUCUCAUACACCCCUCUGAAAUAAUAACAAAAAAAAUAAAAGAAUUGGAAACAGCUUGGCGAUAAUACAUCCUUACUACUUCCUGUUUCCUGCUUUUCGCUUAAUUUCAGUUGGCAUGGCAUGCCUCCCAUUCCGCUGAGGUGUAUGGCCAAUUCCAUUUAUCUUUCGUGAUGGUGAAGGCCCUACUUUGUAAGGCAUGUUCCUGCGACAAUCAGUUAAAUGAAAUGAGCCCGAAUCGAGUAGAACAAAUAUGGAGGAUGCUUAUAACCGACCCUUACUGGUUUGGAGAUUGAAAUGUAGUUGAUUGAUUGAUCAACUCUUCAAGUGUUUAUAAAUAGGUGAAUGAACGAGAGACUACCUUGUUUCUGGGCUCUUUGCAUGCUUUGGAUUUGAUCUCUGGAUCCUUGACUCAUUCCCAUUGGUCAAACUGUUUAGUUUGGAAUUAUUGAAUUGCCAAAGCAAAUCUGGAUCAGACGAAUCACUGGUCGUGGCAUCAAAUUCUUCCAGCUCAUCAGCAGGAGUGAUGUCAAAGUGGUCACCCAAUGGGAUAAGCUUACUUGAUUUUUCUUGGCAUAAUUUAGAUGAUUCUGAAAGGUAUUUCUGAGCAAAGGCAUCAGACAUGCCAUUUUCAGAUUCCCAAUAUCCAAAGGGCUUCCCCACUCCAUGGAUAGUGUCCUGUUUGUUCACCAUUACUUUGUCUACCCACUCACCUGUGCCCAUAUCUUUAUCAUAUCCCACGUAGUUUUCACAUGGACUGUUGACUGGUGGCCAUGGAGGAGAAUUUCCUAGUAACUCAUCAAGAUCAUAGCUUGGCUUCUUUUGUCUGAAUGCAGAAUUACUGGAUAUCUGCACAUUAGUAGAUGUCAAAGCAAGGUCUUGCAGAUUACAACCACAUGCAUCAAAAUGGAUGCUGAUAAGAAACUUCUAUAAAGUUUUCGUACUUUUACAUGGGAGAGGCAGGUAGUUAGUCUCCACUUCUCUUCUUCUCCUUAUUUAGUCGUAUUAGUUAGUAUUCACGUAAUAUCUUAUUCUUCUUCUGCUCUGUUUAUUUUGCUAUGUUGCUAUAUUUUCCUUUCAAUCCUGACCUUGAUUACACUUAUUUUGAGCCGAGGGUCUAUCAGAAACAACCUCGCUACCUCACAAAGAUAGGGGUAAGGUUUGCAUAAAUUCUACCCUCCCCAGACCCCACUUGUGGGACUACACUGGGUAUGUUGUUGUAAGAAACUUCACUAAUGGUAUCUUGUGCUUUAGUUUUGGUAUAAGCUUAUUCAAGUUUAGUGCUCUUCCAAGCAUUGCUGCAUCUAUUUAUUGUUUGAGCUAAAACACCACUAAACACUAAAAAACUUUGAUAAAUUAUUCUUCAAUAGAAGAGUUUGUAUUGUGUAAUAAAUAAUUGCACUUCGAGAGAUAAUCAAGUCUAGAGACUCUACCUCUAUGUUGCCUACAUCGUCCAUUGGUCUCCUCUGGACAUUUGAGUCGCCUAGAAUUUCUCUUUUCAGUGGGUUAAAUUGAAUGGGUGAUGGCUGCAUGCCACAUGGACUGCUCAUUACCUUAUGCUGCAUGGGAACUGACUCCUCUUCCUUUUUUGCUAGUGCUGCUUUCAAAGUUGCAAUCUGAUAAAACAAAGAUAUUGUUCUUCAGAACAAAUCAAUCUAUACUAGGAAUACUUUUUAUACUGGAAAGAAAAAGCAAUUAAAAGGAAAAAAAAGAAGAAAAGAAAACCUGUUCUUUGAGCUCUUUGACAUCUGUAGAGUCUUUGUUUACUCGUGCAGCGCCUAGUUCAACAGUAGAAACACGUUCUGCAAAUUUAAGUGUGCUAAUUGUUUCUCCUACUGCUUCAGGCUCAGGGCUUAUGUGAACGAACAUCAAAGUUUUGGCUUGCCCUCCUACAAAAAAGUCAUAUACCAAAAACCAAUCAUUACUAGACAGAAAGAAAAGAGUCACAAGAACAAUCGAGUUUCAUCAUUUAGCUUAUAUCCUACCAAGUGAGUCUUGAAGAAGCUGUGUAAGUUUGCUGUUACGGUAUGGGACAUGUGCAUUCUUUUGGGCAAGAGCAGAGAUAACAUCACCCAAAGCUGAAAGAGACUUGUUAAUGUGCUGAGCCUCUUUAAGUCUAUCUCCUGUUACUUCAGAUUUGUUCACUCUCUCACUUCCUGCAAGAUCAACCAAAUGCAUACAACCACGAAGAAUAGCUCCAGAAGCCAUGUCUCUUCCCUGAACAUGAACUGUUAGGCAACUGCACAUUCAAGACCAGAAAGAAUUAGCAUCUCCACUAUAAGUUUCUUACAAAGCACUAGAAAGUAAAUUAAGAGAAAGAAAAGAUUCUGCAUUCAGACCUGUGGGAGCGGCUACUGCGGUCGUUGAGCGCUGUUGCACCCACUGAACGAUUCUUUUGCCCUAAAUUCAUCAGAUCAAUAACAUCACAAGUUGAAGCUACAUGAACCAAGCUCGCAUCUGGUACAGUUAGUCCUUGAGAAGCACUACGGAUUUCUAACGUAAUUUUGGGUUAAGGAAUGCAGGAAGUUUAAGGCUUUAAGCACGAGGGGUUGAGAAUGAACAUGUUGUGUAAGAACACAUAGCUUAAAGUCAUUUAAAAGUUCUAAUAUAAGAAUGUUUGUUGCCAAACAUUCAAUAUGGACAGAAGAAGACUAGUAAAGAUCAUUAAAAUGUAAAUGACAAGAUAUUGAGAAGGAUAUCUUUUGUUUACACCAUCAGAAACUAGGAGAUCCCUAACUUGCUCAUUGUAUAUUUCAAUCAUCUGUACAGACACAUCAUAGUGGACGAUGUCCUUUCUUUGUUCUGUGAGAAGGAAUAGAUCACCUAAGGCCCUGUAGUUUACUCCUUGACUUUGUUCUGUGAGAUUGUUAGGUCCCGUCUGAAUACAGCAAAGGAGCUUCUUAGCACAUACAACAGAAAGAAUAAGAUUUUACUUGUGAUGGAGAUACUUUUCUUUAACUAACCAUUGUGUAGGUCUUUCCUGAUCCUGUUUGGCCAUAAGCAAAAAUGCAGACAUUAAAGCCAUCAAGAACUGAUCUUAUCAGUGGUUGCGUAUCAGAAAAUACUUCGCCUGCCAAAAAAGUAAGAAGUGGAAACCACUGAAGAAAGCUGAGGGGUCACAGAAUCAAAAGUAAAGAUUCCAAUCUUUAUAAAAGUUAAGCAUUAAUACCAUUUUACCAACAUUAUAUGCUCUUUUAUAUUUGACAUUUACCUUGAGUUGAGCAAGAUCCAAAUACUUUAUUGAAGUUGAAAGACUUCCGCCCUCUGCCAUUCUUUGAUGGAAUACUAAUUGUGAUGGUACCAUCUUCUAUGUGAUCCACAGAACUAGCAGAAUUAGACUGCCCAGGCAAAAAGGGUCUUACUCGACAGUAAACCCUUAUGCUUCCUAAUUGAGCAGAAACAGACAACCGUCAGUUCAAAGGCUGAGUAAGAGAUGAAGAAAGACACAAUGACGUGGUCUAACACAUAAGAAUGUUACCUUUAAGGUCCUGAACUUGAUUAUAAAGCUUGCGAUUUUCUUCAAGAACUCUAUGAUAACCAGAAGCUGCAUGAGCUAGGCCAUUUAUGUGCACGCCUACAAUCCAACAUAUAAUUAGGUGGAAAUGCUCAAUCAAGGAAUAAACAUAAAUCCAUGAGAUCCCCACACCACACAACCAAAAAAAAUAAUGAAUUGUGCAAUAUUCCUACCAAUAUUAUGCAUUUCCUCAUGAAACUUCAUCUGCAUGAACUGCAUACCCGCUUUGGUAGUCAAAAGAGUUUCCUUCAGGUUCUACAAUAGGACAGUAAGGCUCAUAAGAACAUAGAGGAGAAAUUGAAAUUUUCAUCUUUGAGGGUCUAGUCAUGCCUAGCGAUCCUCAGUGCUUACCUUAAUGUCUCUUUGCUGUUGGUCAACUAUGGUGUAAUGUUUCACAUAUCUUCUUUCAAGUUCUUCAUCCGGCAAGGAGUCCGCUUUCUUCUCAAGGGUCACAUUCCUUUGGUCAACCUAAUUUAGAAGGAAGAAAAAAUUGCAAAUAUGAGGGAUCAUGUCUUUUGACAUGAAAUUGUACUUCUCUAAUUAAAACAGGUGGACAUUGUAAAUUAGAUACCUCACCUUUGCACUAGCAGAAGUCUGUCUCAUGAGGGAUUUGUUAUCACAAGAACCAGUUGAAUCAUCUGUAGUUGCUUUACUCUGAUGGAAGGAUGUUACAUGGUGUGUCAGAGCAUAAGAUGACACAUGUAAAUAACAUUACAAAUGUAGAGUAACUAUUUUACUUUUUCUUAUUUGUGUAGGUAUUGUAAGAAGGAAUCAAAGGAUGGAGUCAAUAAAACGAGUUUAUACAAGCAUAAAAAUGGAAAGAGAAAACUGAGAGCACUGAAUCAAUUGUGACUACUAUGGAAGUUAGAAUCCAACUUCAACAAUGAAUAAUCUAGUAAUUAGAAGAUAGAUGAAUAUUAGUAAACCUACCAAUUCAAUUUUGCUUGCAACGCGUUGCUCAAAUUCCUGAACUACCUUGUUUAACACAGACUCCACAAGCUGUAGCAUGCAUAACAUUUCUGAAGUUUAGAACAAAUGGCACUAUAUACCAAAUAAAAUCACAGAUUAUAGCUAAUAACUCUCCAGCAGUUUACAGGUGCUGAACUGCAGGAGUUUGCAGGAAGUUCUACCAUCACAUGCAUAUCAUAGGUUGGGUCAAACAAAGAUUUCAUAUCUUUAAAGUAAAUGAUUGUGGAAAAUGUUUUUCUAGUUAAGAUAAUGUCUAGUUAACAUAUAUGUGAAAGAAAUUCUGGUGCAGGAUUUGACGGUCAUGAGUUGUUAUGACAAUACCAGACAAAAGAAUUUUAAAGUCAUCAGAGAGGACAUCAACCAUAUCUGAAGAGCUAAUCGUGUACAUUGCUUUAAAUGCAGAAGGUCAAUAUUUCUGAUGACAAGGAACCAAACAAUAUUGAACUUGUGCAUUAAAAAAUACUCAUAAUUUACAGUGAAAUCAAGAAUGAAGAAAUAUUUUUCAACUGUCAAGCUAACAAGGAAAAGCCUGAGUGACAAGGGGUUCCAAGGACUACAAGGUCCAGAGUUAUAUUCUACCAGACAACAAGGUCAUUUAUACACCUAACAGUAAAUUAACUUCCCAUCUCCAAUUUCCCCAGCAAAGAAUUUUCCAUAAUCAACUCAAAAAGAAAAUUCAAUGUGAGGAAAUAACAUCUCAUAAGAAAUAAAAUCUUGGGCUAUUACAAUGUUAAACAAUUUCCUACUAGUCUAAGUUCACUUGAUUGUUUUUCUACAAGUCUAAGUUCAUUUGAUGCUUGUGUGACACUCCUUACUUCAGCUGAAAAGAUUGAACUAGUGAAAGUAAUUUGAAGAAAAAUGUAGGAACAAGUGAAAAGAUUUGAGGCUUUCGCAGAAUGGCUUCCACAUUACACUACAAAAAUGUAAAAGGAGAGUUUAUCAAACUUAAUGAAUUUCAACUUACAUUAGGAACCUCUUCUGGCUUCUUAUCAGUUAGAAUUGCACGAACAAGCAUGCUCAAGGAAGAGCUGGACUGUAAGGAGAAGAGUUGUUUAAUGUAUCGUCCACUGAAUUCAUUAUUCUCAAUGAAUGUAAUGCUUUCCUCAGUCAAGCAGAGGUUACCUACCGUUUUGUUUGUUUCAGCUUCAAUGCAUGCACCAUUUAUAGGUUUCUCAUAUAUACUCCUUGACAAUGAAUUUGUGAAUGGCUCCGAAUUUUUCCUCACAAUUUGUUUCACUGAUGCAUUUGAUUUUAUAUUUCCACCAAAUUUCCAGACUCCGGUAUUACCUUCUUGCUUCCAAUCACUGUAGGAUUUAAGUCCCAAAACACAAUUCACGAUCCUUGAUGAUUUUCCUCCCUGAUAAUUGUCAAGAAUGCAGCUCUAUCAUUCAAUGACUCCUUACUUUUAUAGAAGUUCCAAUAACAAUCAUGAGAAUGUCUGUACAACAACACUGGGACUCAAUUUACUAAGAGUCCCAUUGUGAUAAUAAACUACUUUGGACCCCCAUCAAAUGCACUUAAAACUUACCUGCUCCAGGUCAGAUGCCUCAAACAAAGGAAUCCCCAAUUCUUGCACAGCAACUAAAAAGUUUCUGACAUUCUCAAAGUACUGGUAUGCAGACAAGGCAGGUCCAUCUGAGGUAAUUGCAGAGUCACAUGGACUCUCAACAACCUGUAGUAGUUGAUCAAUGAUAAAGGUCAAUCUCUGAAAUGAAAAAACAACAAUUCUGCCAAGAAAUAGGUCCAUUAUCAAGAAUCUUCUUUAAUCUUAAACUUGCAAUUUUCCUUUUCGAAUGAUCAAUCUCUACCAGUAUUGGAUUGAGGGAUAGUUGAUUGAUUGGUUGAUUUCCUUUAUUAUAAUUCGGGAGUUGAUGGGGUUGGAUUGAUUACCUUGGGCACAGCUCCAGGUUGAAUUUUAUUGAGUACAUUGCAAAGGAUCAUUCCACUCCUUAAACCAAGCCUGAACUCUUCCUCAGAUGGUUCAGCUGGCAAACAUUUAGCUCCAACAAUUCCAACUAUCUUUCUUAUCCACGCUGCUGCAUCAUACCUCCUUCUUGCUACAAUUCAGACAUAGGAUCAUCAGAUCACUCUCAACAUCAAUGAUUUGGAAAUGAUAGUUCAAAUUUCCAACUUAUGCUUCUUAAAAUCACGUGAACAUGCUAGUAAUUACAUUGAAUCUACAGCCUCAUCGCUCAUGAUCAGCCACAAAGUAAAAGACCCAAAAUAUUUUUAAAAAAAACUAAAAAUCAGUAGCAGAAAAGAACAGUAAAAGUUACCAGCUUCUUCUGCUUUACGGGCAUCCAAAUCAAGAUUUCUUGAUCGGCUAUUGUUUCCAUGCUGCUGAAGAACAUCCUCUACCACAGACGUCACCGAGAAAGACAAUGCUCCAUCAGCCGCCAUUUUUUAGUUCAAACAGCUAAAGAAACCACCUUUAUCUUGAUAAUACUAAUGAAUUCCUAAACAUCAAAGUUCCCUAAAAAUCAACAGAACCCCAAUCAGCAAAUUAUCUGAAAGAACCCAAGAAUGAAAGGUCAGACAUCAAAUCUCCCAAAACCAACAAAACCCCAAGUAGCAAAUUAUCUCAAAAAAUCCAAGAAUGAUAGGUCAGACAUCAAAUUCCCAACAACCAACAAAACCCCAAGUAGUAAAUUCUCCAAAAGAACUCAAGAUUAAGAAUUCAGAGCUCAGAACAAGAUCUAAACUGAUUAACAAAGUUCAGAGAAGACACCCAAGUAAUAAAGAUUCAAUCUUUUUCUCUGUAAUCUUCUUCUUGUACACACUACUAACUCAUUCACCAAAUACAAAUUACACUACAAAGUACUAGUAAUGUGUUAUAGACUUCAGUUUUUGGCUUGCUUGAUUCCUUUUUCUCUGCUUUUUUUCACCUACCCCUCAAACUCAACUCACCUCUCUCCCCACGAAAUGCAAGAAAAGCGCUUUAUUUGCUUUAUACAAACAACAAAAAAAGAGAGAAAGAAAAAACUGCUGCUUUGAAUUGAAUUUUGUAGAAUUUUAGAAGACACGUAGUUCCGAGCCUAAUACCGAACCCCAUUUGAACCCAAUUUUUUUUUCUCUCUCUCAGCGCGUUGUACGACUCUUUUGUCAAGCAGGUGGUUAAGUAUUUGGGAGUAGAAUUUAUAUUUUAAAGUAAAAGUAAAAAUGUAUGAACUACUCUUUACAAUAUAUAUAUAAUCAAAAUUUUAUAGCAUUACCAUGUCAGAGUACGCAGAUUCAGGAGUUGAAGUUUAUGAAUUUCUACUAUAAUUUCAAUUUAAUAUACAAAUAAUAACUGAAAUUAUAGUCGAAUAAUUAGCAUACCAAUGAAAUUCCACUUGAUAGAUAUGAGGAAGAGGGGGAUAGAGUGUAUGUUGAUCUUACGUUUUGUGAAGGUAUAAAUAUUUAGUAGUACGAUCGAAUGUUAGUGGGUUCUCAUUAACUCGCGUAUUACCUAUGGAUUUGCGCUUAUUUGUCAUUAAUUUGUUUGUCGUAUUUUUCCUUUUAAAUUCAUUUUAGAAAAAAUGUCUUCUUUUUUUUUUGCUACUCUUUAUUUUAACUUUUCAUAUGACAUCUUUUAGAACACAAUAAGACAUUUUUGUUCAUUUUACAUAUCUUUAAUGUAAGUCCAUUAGAUUUAAAAGUCAUCAUUAUUUUCUUAAAUUUUGUGUCAAUUAGAAUAGAAGGAGUAAUAAAGAACCAAAAAAAAAUUACGGUGAAGUGAUAACUACUUGUUAGUUUUUAAUAGGAGAUUUUGGAUUUGUAGAUUUAAUCAGAUCCAAAAUAAAUAUCAGGUAUUAGGGUGAAAAUUAAAAUAAAAAAUAAACAAUAAUAGUGAUAAUAAUAAUAAUAAGGAAAUUACUUAUUUUAGAAGUAUUCUUUUGUCUCUAAAUAGUUUAUUCAUAAUACCGCAAACCAAAUAUUGCAUCAUGCAUUCGAUGAUUAUAUUUUUCUCAUGCGACCAACUAUAAAUGUUGCAUAUCAAAUUGUUAGUACUUAUUUAAAUUAAUCUUUUAAAAAAUAAUCUCAAGUUUAGUUUUAAAAGUUGUUACUGGAGAUUACAAGUCUAGUUUUGUAUAAGUAAUUUAAUUUAACAAAAAUAAUAAUCUUGCUUGAUUGCACAAAUAAAUAAAUUAAAUUUUGUACGACAACAAAUAAAGGUGCAUCAUGUGAUUUCAAAAGUUAUUUAAGGGAAAGGAAUGUUUCUUAAAUUGAUUGAUUCGCACCACAAUGUAAAGAAUCCAAUGGGGCAAUAGAGGAGGCAAAAGAAAAAAGAUAAUUGGUUUGUUCGAUAUGAAGAAAAAUAUUUUUAAAAAAUAAAUAAAUAAGUUUGUUAAGUAAUUUUUUUACUUAUUUUCUAAUAAACAUUUGGCACUUAAGCAUGAAUUUUUAUUUUUAUUUUUUUAAAUUAUAUAUAAUCUAGAGAAACACUCUAAUAGGGAUGUAGUGGAAUGAGGGGUGGAUAGAGUGCUGAGUAAUUCGAAACGGCUCGUGAUCUUCAACCAAUUAUGCGAUUCAAUAUAAUUAUUGAGGGUAAGUGCUAUAGUUUGUUUCCAAUACUCAACGGCUUGAUUGAACUAAGUCUCUGCAAUUUCAGAAUCUCCCUGUUGAAUAGCAUGUUCUCCCCUGCCGGAAUAGGUAGUUCAAUUUCUUCCCUUAGAACCGUACUUAAGAAUUUCUUAUCUCAUACGGCUCAGUAGUCAAGACUUUUGGUGUCCCAUUUUAAUCUAUACCAUAUCUAAUAAAAUAUAAUAAGAUUUCUCACACAUGAAGAAGUCUAGAACUAGAAGACUUAACAUCUACUACAUAUACAUAAAAAGUUAUUAUUGAUUUUCCAUCGAAGGAGGUUUGGGUAAACCCAAGCCUUUACCCCCACUUGGCUCCGCUCCAGCGCUCCUGAUGGGUUGUUAGAGACGGAGAGACAAUCGAUGUGAAAUAUGAAACUUGUUUUUUCUAUUUUCACUAGAAAAUUAAUUUAAAAUAUAUAUAUACCAACUAAACGUACAAAUUCCAUAUAAUUAAAAAUAAAAUUUGUUACACAAUUCUGACAAGAAUGGGUCUUUUAUAAUUUUCUAGAGCAUCAAGCAACAGCUACAUUUUCAAAAAGUGUUACUGUUUUAUCCCUUUAUUUCUCAAUAAUUAUUCAAUUCAAUUCCAACAAAAAAAAAGUCUUAUCUUUUGAAGCUGCAUGCAUGUUUAUAUUAUAAUAAAUGGAGUAAUAAAUUAUUGGUAUUUGAAAUUUAAAAAAAUUGGCCAGCAGAAAACGAUGAAAUAUGUCACCUUCAAAACAACCUAAUAUCACUGUUUAUUAGCCCACAAAAGAACUAAAUAUAUACAACUAUAGUAGUUGACAAUUUAUUUCCCCCCAAAUUAAAUUCAAAAAAAACAUUUCAAAAUUGUGUUACUAUACAAAUUAGUCAAGUUCUUUUAUUAUUGCAUAUUCAACUACUUUAAAUUUCCUAUCCAAAGGAAUGGCUAGAUUUUAUUUAUUAGUACAAAGUUGGAUAUCAAAUUCUUAUUCAUUUUAAAUACAUAUUUACUCCUGUAUUUAAUUAAGAACUAUAGUACGUAAGUUAUUACAAGUCAUAAAGUACCUCUAGACUAAAGCCAUUGAAUUUUUAGAAAUAUAGAAUUCAUAAACAAACUUUGCCCGACAAGCAUACAAUCGAUUUGAUUUGAAUCACACCCUCACUUCAUGUCUUCUGACAGCGGUUAGAAAGAAAAUGAUCACUCUAUCUUUCUCAUCCGAUUUCUAUCGUAUUGCCCAAAGGCUUCUCUUUUUAUUGUGCUCGUUGGAUCAUUAAGCCUAGGUUUGGAAGCUUUGAUAUUAUAGUAAUUACUCCUAUUUAAUUUCUUCUCAUGCUUGUGCUUGGAUCUUUAGGACUUCCCCUUUUCUUUUAAGGCACUUCCUCUUUGUGUCACUAUUGUUGUUCUUCUUCAAUUAUAUCCCUUUGUAAAUCAUAUAGGAUACGUAAAUUAUAUAAGUUUAAUUCAAUGCGACGAGCCCAACUGGCCUCUAACCUCUGAUCUCCUUAUGGUAUAUCACUUGCUGCACUAACUCAGUUUUUUACUGAUUCCAAUAUGUGUAAUAUCGUUAUUAUUAUAAUUCAUUAUUUUGAUCAUCAAAUCAAAUGAAAAACCUCAUUAGAAAGUUAAAAUAAAAUUCCAAAAUCUCAAUCUUAAAUAUUGUGCCACCACUUACUAAUUAAUGGGCCACGUCUCAGUUAGGCUAAAGGUAACCAUCAAAUUUGUUGUUAGACGGUUACCUAUUAAUUAAUCAUUCACAAUAACAAAAUUAACCUAGCUUAAUUCAACUAACUAUGCACUAAAAUUUCAUUAGACUUCCCUUUUAAAAUAUCUUAGAAACAAAGCAUCAUUAACACUCCAAAAAAACAUCAUUAUCCCGAUAUCAUUAACCAAUAUUUUAAGAAUUUAAUCUAUAUAUAUGUUGAUUUUACGAACAGUUAUUAUUUAGAUGAUUUGAUAGUAUUUUUUAAAAAAAGGUAAAAACUCGUUAUUUGAUUAGCCAAUUGGAGAUGUGUAUUUCUGUUCUCUAUGAUUAUUGGAAAAUUUUAUUAAAUAAUAAAAUAAUAAUAAAGCCAAUAAAGGCAUGCCAGUUUUUAGCUAACGUUCGAAAAUUCAAAUAAGUGGCUCGGAACCGAAGCUAGCAGGUUAGGAGAUAGGUACAGAUGAACUUUGGAUGUGGUGCUCACGCGUUUGUAGGGGCGUAAAUUAGGCUCUAGAAAAGUACACUUGACCUACAACACCCCCCACCCCCUAAGUAGAUUUUGGAUUUAAGGCUAAAACUUAUUAAACCAAAAUAAUUUAUUUUUAAAAAAAAAAAGCAAAACCAAAGUUAAUUUUAUUUAUCGGAAAAAUAAUAAGUUAAAUUUGUAUGAGGUCAAAGAUGCAUAUCUUGACUUAACUCGUUAGAUUUAAUUAUUAAUAAUUGAAUAAUGUGAUAUUAAUAAAUAAAAAUAAUGAAUAAGGCAAGUAAGAAAGAGAAUCGGAUGGAGCUCAGGAAUGUAGGUAUAGUGUUGUUAUAUUGCUUAGAAUCAGAAUGCUCUUACAAAUAUAGGAAAUAAACUAUUUAUAGAGUAUAAUGUUGGCUUCACUCGAGCCAUAAAGUACUAAAAUCAAUGAAUAUUGGCCAUAUGUUAAUAUCGUUAGUGGUUAUUAUUUUUAUGUCAUGUUCAGGCUAUCUGUACGAUAAUAUUCAUAAUAAUGUGCAAAUUUAAUUUGUUCAUAAAUCCAUGAGAUACAUAUUAAAUAUUAAUAAAUUCUUUUUUGGUAUAGUAGGUAUUAUGAGCUUUCUUGAUUAGUUUAUGCGCAUUAAUAUUAUUUUCUAUGUAUUGCUAUUAUUAGGAAUAUUUUUGGAGUAUACAUGAGCUAAAAUUGACCAUGAAAAAAAUAAAUAAGGAGUGGUUUCCACCCAAAAUUAACUAUACAUUAUCUAUAUCACAAGAUUCACAACUAAUAUAUAUUAUUAAUGAAAAUAAAUACUAAAAUAAUUAAAAUGUAAUUUUACCAACCCCCUCAUUUUAUUCUUUCUAGUCUUUAAAGCCUCACGGGCUGAAUAACAAUGACUUUUGAUGGCAUUUAUACUUCUCACAUUUAAGCAAUCACGGGAAUUAAUUUGAAAAUAAUUAAAACUCUCCAACUAAGUUCCGCGCAUAAUUAGAUUUUUCUGUAAUUUCCAUUUUAAUCUAUAAUAAUAUUUUACUAUACUGUUCAAGUUCUCUUUUAACCAAUUUUUCAUGAUAUUGUUAUAAAAAAUUUGGUGAUAUAUCACUAGGUGAAUCUGUCAAUCCAUAAUAAUAAGUAGUAAAAAAUUACAAUAGAUGUGAUAUGAUAACUUGAAAAUUAAAAUAAAAACUUGCUAUAUUUAUUAGUUCUAAAAAAAAUUGAAGGAAAUUAUCUCCCCACCCCACCACCCUCAAGGUCUUUCAUUGGUGCCCUAAAAGUGAAUCAACUAAUUAUAAAUCAUAAUUUGGCUUAUAUAAUUCAAUACUAAUUAUAUGCUUCUGUCAAAUCUGCUGGUGGAUUAUGCUCUCUUAUCUCUUAACCAUAUUAUUAUUUUUUUCCCUCUAACCACUCCCAUUAUCUUUUAUUUAUUUUAUUUUUAUUUUUACUUUUAGACUAAUAAAAAUAAAUCAUGAUAAAACUCCCAUAAAAAACAAAAAAUCAUUAUAGCUAUGAUGUUUUGAUCACGUUAUGCACUUGACUAAUUUCAUGAGAUAUCUAUUAUCUCAUCAGUACAUCACGUCGACAUGGACAUCUGGUAACUUUGUCUAUCAAACUCGAAUAGAUGAGAAAAAAUCGUCUAAUGUUUGCGUUUAAUAAGAUUUAUAGAACAAGCUAUCAAGCUUGUCAUCAAACUUGUGACACAAGUUGUAGCAAUUAAGUGGAAGGAAAAAAUAAAGGAAAAUAUUAUUCAUACCUUAAAAUAGACAAAAGGAAGUGUAGUAAUAUAGAGCUUUCCCAUCAUAGUAAUGCUUUGCUUUGGAGGUGGCCCAACUUAUGGUAAUGCCAGAGCAAAAGUUAGACACAAAAAGUGAAUGUGAUUAGCAGUGAAAAUAUAAUUAAACUAAUUUGUACUUAAGACUAAUUAUUAUUGUAAUAUUCUCUAAUAAACUCAAUACAUCUUUUUUUGUGUGUACACAUUGUAAAGAGGUCUCAAUUCAAUUCUUAGUAUCACUAAUCAAAGUUUUGUUUAUCUUAUAGUCAUUUCUAUCUUAUUGAAUUUCCUUAAUUAACUAUGUUAUGGUAUGAUUAUAAAAAAAAUAAAAUCAAAAGGGUAAAAUGGUCCAUUUUCCAAUAAUAUCAUGAAAGCCAUAGCACUCCUAACAUUUUUUCCCCUCACUUUUGUUAUUAUUUCUUACUUUAAUUUGCCCACCGACCAGACUUCAUGAGUAGUGUGGAAAGCAAUUCCCCACAUUAUCCUUCUUUUUCUUUAAAUCAUAGAGGUAUUACAAUGACUUAUCAUGGCCAAAAAUUUACUACUAAUAAUUGUUGAAAGAAUCCAAAAGUUUCAUGAUAUUAUUAGGUUAUGUACAAAAUUGAUCCCCUGAAAAGCGGAAUUGAUUAGAAACUUUAUUCUUUUAUCAGAAUCGUACGUGAGACUCCAUCCUCAUAAGGUUGAGCAUUCGUUGAUCCAUAUUUUAAUUCAAUAGGUUAAGAAUAUUAUUGAAUUCCAUUUUUGCUACUAUAUAACAACUUAAUUCUAUAUAUAUAUGCGCGCGCGCUUCCUACAUUAUAAAUAUUCAAUUACAAUGUAUGUGUAGCCUUGCCUAUAGCACACUCUAUUACAUGGUGAUGAAAUGAGAGAAAGCAAUGUAACUACUAAUGUCCAAUAUAUUUAUAAAAUAUAUAAGUGGGCUCCACCACCUUCCACUUAAAUACUACAUAUUAUAUAUUAAUUACUAUACUAUAAAUGACUUAAAUACUCCAUAUUAUCUAUUACAAUAAUUAACAAUUAUUUGACACUUUAAAUUCUAUCAAUGCCAUAUAAAUUAGGAUAAAAAACCUAACAUAUAAUAUUUAAAUAUAUUUAAAAAUAAUAUAAGUAAUACUAUACAUUACAAUAAUUAACAGCUUAAUUAUUUAAAUAUUUUUUUAAUAAUAUAUGUUAUUUGCCAUGUCCCAAUUUAUGUGGCAUUAAUUGAUAGAUUUAUUGGAGUCGAGAGAUUUAUUUUGUUAAUUAUUGUAAUUUAUAGUUUCUUUUUCGUCAAUUUCAAACAAUAUAUGUUUAUUAUAUAAUCCAUUUUAUGUGGUACCUUCUCUAAAUUCUAUUGGUACCACAUAAAAUGGACAUUAGUAGUGAUCUUAUUGGGAGCUUGGUAGUCAUUCCUAGACUCUUCUAUAAUAUAGUAAUNNNNNNNNNNNNNNNNNNNNNNNNNNNNNNNNNNNNNNNNNNNNNNNNNNNNNNNNNNNNNNNNNNNNNNNNNNNNNNNNNNNNNNNNNNNNNNNNNNNNNNNNNNNNNNNNNNNNNNNNNNNNNNNNNNNNNNNNNNNNNNNNNNNNNNNNNNNNNNNNNNNNNNNNNNNNNNNNNNNNNNNNNNNNNNNNNNNNNNNNNNNNNNNNNNNNNNNNNNNNNNNNNNNNNNNNNNNNNNNNNNNNNNNNNNNNNNNNNNNNNNNNNNNNNNNNNNNNNNNNNNNNNNNNNNNNNNNNNNNNNNNNNNNNNNNNNNNNNNNNNNNNNNNNNNNNNNNNNNNNNNNNNNNNNNNNNNNNNNNNNNNNNNNNNNNNNNNNNNNNNNNNNNNNNNNNNNNNNNNNNNNNNNNNNNNNNNNNNNNNNNNNNNNNNNNNNNNNNNNNNNNNNNNNNNNNNNNNNNNNNNNNNNNNNNNNNNNNNNNNNNNNNNNNNNNNNNNNNNNNNNNNNNNNNNNNNNNNNNNNNNNNNNNNNNNNNNNNNNNNNNNNNNNNNNNNNNNNNNNNNNNNNNNNNNNNNNNNNNNNNNNNNNNNNNNNNNNNNNNNNNNNNNNNNNNNNNNNNNNNNNNNNNNNNNNNNNNNNNNNNNNNNNNNNNNNNNNNNNNNNNNNNNNNNNNNNNNNNNNNNNNNNNNNNNNNNNNNNNNNNNNNNNNNNNNNNNNNNNNNNNNNNNNNNNNNNNNNNNNNNNNNNNNNNNNNNNNNNNNNNNNNNNNNNNNNNNNNNNNNNNNNNNNNNNNNNNNNNNNNNNNNNNNNNNNNNNNNNNNNNNNNNNNNNNNNNNNNNNNNNNNNNNNNNNNNNNNNNNNNNNNNNNNNNNNNNNNNNNNNNNNNNNNNNNNNNNNNNNNNNNNNNNNNNNNNNNNNNNNNNNNNNNNNNNNNNNNNNNNNNNNNNNNNNNNNNNNNNNNNNNNNNNNNNNNNNNNNNNNNNNNNNNNNNNNNNNNNNNNAUUACUUAAAAUUUAAUGACUUAAAAAUAUUUUUUUAAAUGUAUUAAAAUUUUGGUUAAUUGUCAAAACUUUACAUGUGCCACAUAAAUUGGGACAUGGAGAGUCACACAUAUUAUUAUUUUUAAAUUACAUUAAAAGUAUUCUAUCAAUUAACAACAUAUAUUGUUUGAAAUUGAACGGAAAAAAAAACUAUAAAUUACAAUAAUUAACAAAAUAAAUCUCUUGACUCCAACAAAUCUAUCAAUUAAUGCCACAUAAAUUGGGACAUGGCAAAUAACAUAUAUUAUUAAAAAAAUUAAGGUUCAAAAUGUACUAUAAAAUACAAUAAUUAACAACUUAAUAUAUUUAAAGAAGACAUAUAAAAAAUAGGUUAAUAUUUGAAAUUCUGCGUGUGCCACAUAAAUUAGAACAAACAGAGUAAUAAAUAUUAUUUUCAAAAUUAUGUUAAAAAAAAGUACUACAAAUCACAAUAGCUAAAAAUUUAAAAUAUUUUUAAAAUCAUAUAAAAUUUCAAUAACUUCUCAAAUUCCAUAAUAUGACAUAAAUUAAAAUAAAAAAAUAAUAUAUAUUGGGCCCCGUGCUGGCACGGGGUCCUAUAACUAGUAAUAGUAUAAAAUGCUUCUUUUUUUAAUCCAUCAAGGGAUUAUUUUCUUGGAACAAAUGAAAAGUUGUUUGACUAAACAAAGGGUGUUUUGUUAGGGGGAAAAAUGAAGAAAGUUGGAUAAUAAAACUUAAAGCAAAAGAUGAACUAUCUCAACUACAAUUUGGUGAAGUUGAAAAAAAAAGAUCAUCUCUAUUCUAGGAUACCCAACUUUAGAAGAAAGCAAGAUUAAUCCUACUUCUAUUUUAUAUUAUAUACAACAACAACAACAACAAUUCUUGUGUAAUUACAAAUGGGGUGUGGGAAGGGUGGUAUGUAUGGAGUCUUAUCCAAUUUAUUUAUUGUGACGGUAGAGAGGUUAUUUUUGAUAAACUAUCGACACAAGUAAAACAUAUCAAACUCAAGUAUGGAAAGAAAAUACAGUAAUGUAUAAAUCAUGCUAGAGAUAAAAGAGAAGAACAGUAGCAAAACGACAAACAAGACGUAAAUGAAGCAAAGAAAACAGCAUGUAAUAAAAUAGAAGAAUAAGGUAAUAGUAGGGAAAACUAGACAACGCUCAGAUACAGAAAUACCUAUUAACCUUCUACCCUAUCUCUCGUCCUUCAUACGGUCAUGUCCUAGUCGUAGAAAAACUAAACAACAAUCAAAUACCUAUUGACCUUCUACCCUAAUCCUCGCCAAGAACUAUACCUCCUAUCUAGAGUCAUAUACUCUAUAGUUACUAAUUUGAUGUCUGAAUUUACAUUGGACAUAGAUUCUGCUUUGACCUUGUAAAUUUGCUUUCUUAUUUGCCUUUUUCAGAUGUAAAUAAAACUGACAUUUCAUAGAAAGUUGAAAGAUAUUUCAAGAAUAAUGUGACUUUGCACCUGGCAACCAAUCAUCUAUUGGGGUUCCUUUGAUGCUAACAGUUAUUUAAAUAUCAGAGAUAUUUUGUUCCUUGAGAUAUAAUUUUUCCUUUCCCAAAAAGGUUGAUUCCUCUUGCUUUUAGAAAGUCCUGAGACAUGUUCUCAUCCCAUUUCUCACUUCUCAGGGCCAGCACUUCAUAAUAUGAAACUAGCCAUCAGUUGACGAUGUAUAUAAUUUAAACUCUUUCGAAAUGAUGACAAAAAUGUGCAAAUAAUAUAUUCUGCAUACAUCUUUUUUCAGUUCAAUUUUUCUUUAUUAUGUUCUUAUCCUUUCUUGUUGUCUUCAACCAGACAACCACAACUGGUAAGGAUGAAGGAAUACUUACUAGUCUGAUAUAUAAGCUGGAAAGCCCAAAGAGUAAAUGCCUCAAAAGUUCGACUAAUAUUCAAUUUCUCAAACCUCAGUAUAGUUUCUAGUCUUCCUACAUUUCAGCUCCUUUUAUCAUCAUCAUCAAUUUCAGUAUAUAAAUGGUAUACUAAAUCUGUUUCACAAUGGCCAAAAUGGUUUUUCUAUGUUGCUAUGACAGCUAAUAAGAAAAAAGAUACACAACCGAUGAGGAGAUUGAUGCAGACGAAUCAGUUGCCUUGCUCGAGGACUUGAUGAACUAAACUGCCUCUACUACGAUGAAUCAAUCCCCAAGUCAUUGUGCCAUCCUACAAUGUGUGAGGAUGAGGAUCAGGGGGGAACAUGGUUACAAGGAAGCGGUGAAUCAUCUCAAAACUGGUAAAUGUGAUAACAGCUGCAGGGGUAGUUCGGAUUAGGUUGGUUGCACAACCACGGUAAAAGCCUGUCAUGCCUUCUUGAUGAAAGACUUUCUUAAUGCAGUCAACUACACCAGAGUACCGUUUUUCAGAAUGGUGCCCCUGUUCUUGAAGCCUUGAACGUACAACCUACAACGAAAAAUCCAAAGAAUGAUUUGGUGAACGUAUGCUUGUCAUACACUCGAUUCCCUAAGCUUUCCGAACACAUGCAAAAUCUAUUGAAGUGAUUCAACCAUAAA
This 26903-nucleotide long non-coding RNA is filed under the name Solanum tuberosum (potato). Its description in RNAcentral is "long non-coding RNA (STUB_LNC009356)". The record is from RNAcentral. Lineage: Eukaryota; Viridiplantae; Streptophyta; Magnoliopsida; Solanales; Solanaceae.